Chrysemys picta bellii (western painted turtle) is the source of this 139-nucleotide small nuclear RNA. Its record names the gene U4. It matches the Rfam family "U4 spliceosomal RNA". From Rfam's summary of the family: U4 small nuclear RNA (U4 snRNA) is a component of the major U2-dependent spliceosome. The structure of U4 snRNA from yeast and human has been reported. U4 snRNA presents a k-turn RNA motif in the 5p-SL related to recognition of Snu13 protein. The record is from Ensembl. NCBI's taxonomy places the organism in Eukaryota, Metazoa, Chordata, Testudines, Emydidae.
AGCCUUGUGUUGGCAGUAUCAUAGCUAAUGAGGUUAAUCUGAGGUGUGAUUAUUGUUAGUUGAAAACUUUUCCUAGUAUUCUGCUGUGUUGAUUUGAAAUAUAGUUGGUGUUGGCAAUUUUUUAUAGUCUCCUGUGAGA